UGCUUGUGCCUCCUCAAUUGCUAACAUGACUACUAUUUUUUUCCUCAGGAAAAAAAAACACAAAUAACCCUUACUAGAUAGCAAAGAAUUCCCUAUGGCAAGACUGAUAGCAGUGCUAGGAACUGCUCUUUCUUGCUUUACUGUGGCUAGCUUAUCUCAGAUCACUGGGAGUGCUAACCAAAGUCCUUGCUUUGGAGACUGGUUAACCAUUAAGGUUCCUGAAGAACAUACAGUGAAAAAUGGUUUCCUGCCCAAAAAAGGCAAGAAGAAAGAAAGUUGAUGUCCUCAGUUCUCAAACCUGUCUCUUCAUCAUCACCAUUAGCAGAGCAGUUUUCAAAUACAGCUCAGAAUUCUGACACUGCUCCCAUCAGGAGUAAUUUUAAUUUGGACCUGUCGUGCUUCAGUCAAUAAAAUACGACAGUCACAUUGCUUUUUUAAUUUUUUUUUUUUUUUUGCCAGUCUUGGGGCUUGGGGUGAACUCAGGGCCUCUACUACUGAGCCACAGUGCCACUUCUGGCCUUUUCUGUUUAUGUGGUGUUGAUGAACCAAACCCAGGGCUUCAUGUAGGCUAGGCAAGCACAUUGCCACUAAGCCACAUGCCCAGCCGGACACAUUGCUUUUGAAGUUUCAAGGCGCAGACUGAGAAAGCCAUGAAGCAUCCAUGUGGUUACCUUGAGGCUAUCAUUCUGGAAGAUGCCACACACGCAACCACAGGCAGGAUGAAAAUGCCACCUCAUCCCCCAGCCAAGGGCUAAUCACAACUGCCAGGCACAGGGACAUCACUGCCCCCGCAGAUGACCACAGUCCCAGCUGACACCUGAGUCAAACCACAGGCAUUCUCUCAAGCAGAUCUACCCAGCUGGGCUCCAACUAAUCCUUCCUAAACCCUGGACUCACAAACUAGGUCACAUAAAACAACUGUGGGACUCAGGGGUCAUUUGUUUUUAUACAGAAAUCAAAACAAUGAAGAGGUUGGGUGUCAUGACACAUGCUUGUAAUUCCAUCACUCGGGAGGCUAAGAGAGGAGGAUUGUGAGUUUCAGGCCAAUCUGGGCUACAUAGUGAGA
Molecule: long non-coding RNA, 1066 nt
Organism: Perognathus longimembris pacificus (Pacific pocket mouse)
Lineage: Eukaryota; Metazoa; Chordata; Mammalia; Rodentia; Heteromyidae
Exons: 3
Source: RefSeq, a predicted model, not a curated record